This 243-nucleotide ribosomal RNA is filed under the name Paenibacillus agri. Its description in RNAcentral is "Bacterial large subunit ribosomal RNA". It matches the Rfam family "Bacterial large subunit ribosomal RNA", at positions 2605 to 2854 of the family's 2925-position model. Lineage: Bacteria; Bacillati; Bacillota; Bacilli; Caryophanales; Paenibacillaceae. The record is from Rfam by way of RNAcentral.
CUGGGUUCAGAACGUCGUGAGACAGUUCGGUCCCUAUCUGUCGUGGGCGUAGGAAAUUUGAGAGGAGCUGUCCUUAGUACGAGAGGACCGGGAUGGACGUACCGCUGGUGCACCAGUUGUUUCGCCAGAAGCAUGGCUGGGUAGCUACGUACGGACGGGAUAAGCGCUGAAAGCAUCUAAGCGUGAAGCCCCCCUCAAGAUGAGAUUUCCCAAUUAGUAAGACCCCUUGAAGACGACGAGGUA